AUUGAACGCUGGCGGCAGGCCUAACACAUGCAAGUCGAGCGGAUGAAGGGAUCUUGCUCCUGGAUUCAGCGGCGGACGGGUGAGUAAUGCCUAGGAAUCUGCCUGGUAGUGGGGGAUAACGUCCGGAAACGUGCGCUAAUACCGCAUACGUCCUGAGGGAGAAAGUGGGGGAUCUUCGGACCUCACGCUCUCAGAUGAGCCUAGGUCGGAUUAGCUAGUUGGUGGGGUAAAGGCCUACCAAGGCGACGAUCCGUAACUGGUCUGAGAGGAUGAUCAGUCACACUGGAACUGAGACAAGGUCCAGACUCCUACGGGAGGCAGCAGUGGGGAAUAUUGGACAAUGGGCGAAAGCCUGAUCCAGCCAUGCCGCGUGUGGGAAGAAGGUCUUCGGAUUGUAAAGCACUUUAAGUUGGGAGGAAGGGCAGUAAGUUAAUACCUUGCUGUUUUGACGUUACCAACAGAAUAAGCACCGGCUAACUUCGUG
This 484-nucleotide ribosomal RNA is filed under the name uncultured bacterium. RNAcentral's name for it is "partial 16S ribosomal RNA". It matches the Rfam family "Bacterial small subunit ribosomal RNA", at positions 30 to 507 of the family's 1533-position model. The record is from RNAcentral.